GGCUGACAGAAGAGAAGUGAAAAGGGAAGAAAUGGGAGCCCCGGGACAUUACAUGUCACACUCGGUAAGUGGUAUAUCCCAUUUGAUCUGCUCCGGGGGGACACCUGAUGAGAUGGACCAAACAAGUGGAUAUAACAGAAAAGCUUGAAGGAUUAUAUUCCCCGUCUGGCAGCGUGGGAACGUGGAACUGAGAGGUGGCACAUGUUUGUGAUUGCCUCAAGAUCCUGCAGAGCGAGAAGCAGAACCCAGGAGUCCUGAUCUCAGCCCAGGGUAACAAUCACUAGACCAUCCUGCCUCCAUGAAUGAAGCAUACAGAAAAAGAAAGAAAGAGGUGAAUGUUAAGUGCAUUUUUCUUAGCUCUUUUUACUUCUCC
RNAcentral lists this long non-coding RNA (373 nucleotides) under Crocodylus porosus (Australian saltwater crocodile). RNAcentral describes it as "lncRNA (ENSCPRG00005010375.1)". The record is from RNAcentral. Lineage: Eukaryota; Metazoa; Chordata; Crocodylia; Crocodylidae.